UGACAAUAAAUACUGAUACAGGGCUCUUUUGGGUCUUGUAAUCGGAAUGAGUACAAUUUAAAUCCCUUAACGAGGAACAAUUGGAGGGCAAGUCUGGUGCCAGCAGCCGCGGUAAUUCCAGCUCCAAUAGCGUAUAUUAAAGUUGUUGUGGUUAAAAAGCUCGUAGUUGAACCUUGGGCCUGGCUGGCCGGUCCCCCUCACCGGGUGCACUGAUCCAGCCGGGCCUUUCCCUCUGUGGAACCCCAUGGCCUUCACUGGCUGUGGCGGGGAAACAGGACUUUUACUUUGAAAAAAUUAGAGUGCUCCAGGCAGGCCUAUGCUCGAAUACAUUAGCAUGGAAUAAUAGAAUAGGAC
This 354-nucleotide ribosomal RNA is filed under the name Lomentospora prolificans. RNAcentral describes it as "Scedosporium prolificans Eukaryotic small subunit ribosomal RNA". It matches the Rfam family "Eukaryotic small subunit ribosomal RNA", at positions 468 to 828 of the family's 1831-position model. Lineage: Eukaryota; Fungi; Ascomycota; Sordariomycetes; Microascales; Microascaceae. The record is from Rfam by way of RNAcentral.